AUUGAACGCUGGCGGCAUGCCUUACACAUGCAAGUCGAACGGCAGCACGGGAGCAAUCCUGGUGGCGAGUGGCGAACGGGUGAGUAAUAUAUCGGAACGUGCCCAGUCGUGGGGGAUAACGUAGCGAAAGCUACGCUAAUACCGCAUACGAUCUAUGGAUGAAAGCGGGGGAUCGCAAGACCUCGCGCGAUUGGAGCGGCCGAUAUCAGAUUAGGUAGUUGGUGAGGUAAAGGGUCACCAAGCCGACGAUCUGUAGCUGGUCUGAGAGGACGGCCAGCCACACUGGGACUGAGACACGGCCCAGACUCCUACGGGAGGCAGCAGUGGGGACUUUUGGACAAUGGGCGCAAGCCUGAUCCAGCAAUGCCGCGUGCAGGAUGAAGGCCUUCGGGUUGUAAACUGCUUUUGUACGGAACGAAACGGUGAGCUCUAAUACAGUUUGCUAAUGACGGUACCGUAAGAAUAAGCACCGGCUAACUACGUGCCAGCCGCCGCGGUAA
RNAcentral lists this ribosomal RNA (500 nucleotides) under uncultured bacterium. RNAcentral's name for it is "partial 16S ribosomal RNA". It matches the Rfam family "Bacterial small subunit ribosomal RNA", at positions 30 to 523 of the family's 1533-position model. The record is from RNAcentral.